GGAGAGGUGGCUGAGCGGUCGAAAGCAGACGCCUGCUAAGCGUUUGGCCUGGGAAACUAGGCCCCUGGGUUCGAAUCCCAGCCUCUCCG
RNAcentral lists this transfer RNA (89 nucleotides) under Candidatus Omnitrophota bacterium. RNAcentral's name for it is "tRNA-Ser". It matches the Rfam family "tRNA". Rfam says of the family: Transfer RNA (tRNA) molecules are approximately 80 nucleotides in length. Their secondary structure includes four short double-helical elements and three loops (D, anti-codon, and T loops). Further hydrogen bonds mediate the characteristic L-shaped molecular structure. tRNAs have two regions of fundamental functional importance: the anti-codon, which is responsible for specific mRNA codon recognition, and the 3' end, to which the tRNAs corresponding amino acid is attached (by aminoacyl-tRNA synthetases). tRNAs cope with the degeneracy of the genetic code in two manners: having more than one tRNA (with a specific anti-codon) for a particular amino acid; and 'wobble' base-pairing, i.e. permitting non-standard base-pairing at the 3rd anti-codon position. The record is from RNAcentral. Lineage: Bacteria; Pseudomonadati; Candidatus Omnitrophota.